This 4625-nucleotide long non-coding RNA is filed under the name Marmota monax (woodchuck). Lineage: Eukaryota; Metazoa; Chordata; Mammalia; Rodentia; Sciuridae. The record is from RNAcentral.
ACUUCACGGGAAACACAAUAAGUCACUCUACCCAGUGUCAAGAAGUAACUAAGCCUAAGUUAAGACAAGUUCAUUAUUCAACUUUGCCAGUGCAAAUUGUUUUCCAAUUUGAAUUUUCAAACCCAUUUGAACUUUUAUCUCUAAAAUGUCGCUGCAUGAGAGCAAGUAUUAUGACUUUCAGGUAGGCAAUUCUAACUGAAUUGAGAUAUAUAAGUUUUGUUUGAGAUAUAUAAGUAUGAUAAUGUUUUUCAUUGGGGGUGGGGGUGGGGGGAGUUAGUACCAAGAAAACACUACUAGUAUAAUUAAGAAAUGUUCAUAUUGCACAAGGAACCAUCCACACAACCCACCAGCAUGUUAGUAAGAUGGAAAUGUCCACCCACAAUGCCUUUCAGAGGUUUGGGGCCUGAUGACAGAGUCAGCCGUUAACCUGUGUCUGAUUAGAGCUGGGAAAGGCUUUGGUUUAGAGGCCAAGGAAAAAUGGCUGUACUGGGGGAACAGAUUAUUUAUAACACAAGCUCUUAAAUGCUUGUGAAAACCUCAAGUUUCGGAAGCUUCUCUGUUGAGAAAGAAGUAAUAAUGUAUAAAUGCACACCAUUGAACAAGAGGAUUGCUGUAAACAGAGUAUGCCUCACCAUUGGGACCCUAAUACCAUUUUUGCUCAAACAUUAUUUUGAGCAAGAAACUGGCAAGCAAAAUAAUCAGAAACAAAAGUGAAUACUCUUUUUAUUUUGUUUUUGGUACUGGGGAUUGAAUCCAGGAUUACUUUACCAUUGAGCUGCAUUCCCAGCCCUUCUCUUUUUUGGUUUUGAGACAGGGUCUCGCUAAGUUGGUGAGACUAGCCUCAAACCUAAUAAUCCUCUUGCUUCAUCCUCCCAUGUUUCUGGGAUGGCAGGCAAGCACCACUGCGCCUGGCAUAAUACUCUUUUAUUUCAUUGUAAUUUUUAAGUCUGUGAGAAGUUCAGUUGUGCUUCUUGUUAAAAAGAACAUUUCUAUUGCUGCAAAGGCUGUCUUGAGCUUAUGAUGAUUGUGAAACUACAAGAACAAAUGAACAAACAAAAAAAAACCCCACAAAUCAUAUCUCAGUUCUAUUAUAAAAAAUGGAGACUUCUGAUAUCAAAUGCUUUCUUCUACUUGGAAGAGGCAAAAGAGAACAGGGACUAGACAGAUUAUUGGUCCCUACGAUCUGUUAUGCAGAAUAAACAAUAAGCACUUUAGUCUCCCCCCCAAAAAAAAACCGCCUGCCAUAUUCCAUACAUGUAUUUCCAGUUUUGUCUUAGAAGGAAAGUUCAUCACAAAACUGUGUUCCAAUAACGUCAAGUAUGUGGCUAAAGUCAGUGGAAAUCCUGUCUGGUGGAUGCUAACUCAUCCUUUCUUUGUAGAUACCUGGGAGAGAAAGAGGAACUUGGAUAUCUUGCAGGGAACUAUGAACAGGAGUGAAAGCAGGUGUUUUUAGAGGUCAAAGAGAUGAUGAUUCCAGGUUGCCUAGCAGCAGAGCAAGGAUCAGAGCCCCCAGGUCCAGAUGCUGUGCUGCGAGUGGUAUAUAGGCAAGGAAGUUCAAGAAGAGGGACUUUUCUCUGUCACCUGUGACUCAGAACAGCUCCCUACAUCUCUCUCCUCCAGACUGACUCUCCUUAGCCCACUUUCAAACAUGUGACAUUGUCCCUUAAGUAGAUGUGAUGUCUCUUACGCAUUUGAUACAAUUAGCUCUUGGUCCACUUGUAUUUUUCUAUUAAAUGCCCAGUAGGUUUCAUGUCAUCUAAGCUGCAUGUUAAAGGGUUAGCAGUUAAUCCUUUAUUCAUCUAGCCUUCACAAAUUUGUAUUUAAAUUAUUAUUUUUUUCAGAACUGGAAUAUUAUUCUUGUGUCUGUCACCUUCACAAAAAAUGCAAUACUUUAUCCAACAACCCCAAGCCACGCUAAAACUCAUGUUGUCAUCUUGGCUUACAAAGCAGCGUCCCUAAUUGUACCAGUCAGUCACAUGAGGACAUUCAGCGACCUGCCUUGCCAAAUUUACCUGUUAUAAAGCUCACGGGGCACAUAGUCCCCACAAAAAAAAAAAAAAAAGUGCCAUAUGAAAAAAAAGACGGUAAUUAUAAAUGAGAACAGCAUCUGACACACUUUUCAUCUACUUUAAAUCUCCACGGUUUCAUUUUGUCAUUCUCUGGGUAAAUCUCUUGGGGAUGCUAGCUAGCAUGUUCUUUUCUCAUUUGAAAUACGCAGCUGGGAAUUGAACAAUGCUCAGCAAAUCAGCGAGGCCCAACAGUAAGAUGUAAUUUUAAUUCUCUUAGGAAAGAGUUGUGUAUUGCAUUGCAGCAAGUUGACAAAUCGUAGCCAUUGCUGUAGCAGGUCAGGAGUUAUCUCUUAGCCAACUUUAAUGAUAACCAGGGGUCCCUAGGUGACCUACAUGAGCUGAGCUGGCAGGAUGCCAAAGCAGAGAGUAGUGCCAACCACAUAAUGAAUUACAUGCAGGAACUCCAGAGAGGACUCAGCCACUUGUGAUUUCCACACAUCUUUUCCAGCCCCACAUUAGGACAUGUGGUCUUAAAAAUAUUCUUUUUAAAGAAUUGCUGGCUAUGUAUUUAUUUACAUGAAAAGGCUUAUAAAUACCAGAGAUUAUACACACAUUAUACGUUUAACAGAUCACCUUUGUUAAAAAUGAAAUGACCCAAAGUUGAGACUGUAGAGAAAAAUCCAUGCAAUAACCACUAUAGUCAUGUCACUAAAGAUAACUAGGUGGGUGUACCUGGCAUAUUAGCACACCUCCAGAUAUGAUGCUUCAGAAUAAGGAAAAAUUUGUAUCUGGAAUACCAUGUGCAUUACAGUUUAAUUUCUUCUUGUUACAAAUGGUGCUCAAAGAAGGAUCAAUUCCGGUUGCUUCCUUCAAUUUCCCUUUUGGAAUGAUUUUUGUUUUUCAUUACAGUAGGCUAUGUUAGCCUUUAUUUUGGUGAUUCUCAAAUCCUGGUGACUUGAAGGAAUAAUAUGCUGGUGGCCUUUCAUAAAGGUUACUGAACUUUAAUUUAAUCAGGGGUGAGAUGAGUGAUGUGAAUAGACCUAUAUAGUGUUUUCUAAAAAAAAAAGAUGAAGCACUUGACUUAAGAACCCACAAAAUUUUAAUUCAACCUGUUUAAAGGACUCAGAGAAGGCAGAAAGCUUUAUCAGAUUAGAAUCUGUAUGAGACUCUUGCUGGACAAGGCUGAAUUACACAUGCAAAUGCGGAGAUGAAGUUUCCAGGGUCAAAGUGUCUUAUGUUCCUUCAGGUCUCUGAGAGCUCCAAGUCUUAAAAGGACCAUUUAUUGCCAUGAGCUCUGAAAUAAAAAUGCCUCUGCCUUCUAAUAGUUUAUAUGACCACCAUGCAGCCGUACAUCAGGACUCCAGUUGCUGAAUUCAUCUACCUAGUUUCCAUGUACAGCAACUGUGGACAAGAACCCUUGAGAUACUUUGUCACUCUUAACCAAUUUAACCAAGGAGUCCUUUCACAGCUGGACUUCUUUUCUCAGGCAUGUUUGAUGGGGACAAAGUUUUGUUUUUUGUUUUUUUGAGUUCUCAGUGAACAUACAUUAAUAUCAGACUGUGCUAAACUUGUCUCACUCAAUAUUUAAAAUUUAGUAUGUAGAGAUUAUAUUAUUCCUGACUCCAAGUCUAUUUAAAAGGAGGAAAGAAAUGGAGUAUCCUAAGAACCACCCCCCACACACACACCCAAUUGAGUAAUGCUGUCCAGAAGCUCUGGAUAGAAAACCUGCUAUUUAUAGCAUGAUUUUUGAUAAUGAAGAUAACUCCUGGAAGCUCUCUCCCUUUUACCUAUUCCCAAAAUCAAAGGAUUUUAUUUCCAUGAUUUUUACUUAGCUGGGGCCAUGGUUUUCACUAGUCUACAGUUGCAAUAUAUUCCAUAGCAGGAGGCUAGUGAUAUACCCACAGUUGGGCCUUCCGGGUCCAGUAAAUAGGAAGGGAAGGCAGCCACUGAGAAGGCUGAGUUCCCAGAGUGGCAUAGUCUCACCCUUGUUUAAAAUCAAGUCAAGCUAGCCUUUCAGUCACUCUAUUUUUGUAAUGAUUUGCCUUUAGGCCUCAAAGGUCAUUUGAUUUCUGCAAUAGUUUUCUGUUCUAUAAAAAUAACAUUCCUUUUUUUUUUUUCCCGGUUGUAAUUCUUAUUAAAAUUUGAGCCGUGCAAAUGACCUAGUUACCAUGUAAUGAACCUUGUAUAUUGAUUUUGAGAGAAAAAUAUGUAUAGGAUAUGUUGAGGGGUAGAAAGAAAGACAUUAAAAACUGGAAUUAUUUUAGGUGGCAGAUUGUAAAGCAAAAAAAAAAAGUAUACCUUAUUUUGUAUACAAUGUACAUUUGGGACAGAGUUUUCUAAUAUGUUGCCAAUGUUUUUUUUGUAGUGUCACCACAGGUCUUUUCGGAAGUGUUUUCCCCCAUUUGUUAUAGACUAUUAAUGAUUUAAUGCAAUUAAGCCCUAAAGUGUGCGUGGGAGUGUGCAAGCAAUGACAAAGCCAUAGCUCUUGAUUUACUUCACUGACCUGUGUAACUUUAUGUCUGGGUUUUGCCAUCCAAGAUAGAUUGUUCUAUAGAGAGUGUCACCAAAGACUUUUUCGGUCCAAUUUAUAGAAGAAAAAAAAAAGAAAUUAUUAAU